RNAcentral lists this long non-coding RNA (251 nucleotides) under Mus caroli (Ryukyu mouse). RNAcentral's name for it is "predicted gene 29434 (MGP_CAROLIEiJ_G0003541.1)". Lineage: Eukaryota; Metazoa; Chordata; Mammalia; Rodentia; Muridae. The record is from RNAcentral.
AGUGCAGGGAAGAGGCAUGCAUGUCCACAGCUUCUGUCAGCCGGACUCCCUGAAGGCUGCAGCCCCUGCAGCCCCCACCGCAAGCUGGAUCCGGGAUCUGCACAUCGGGAGCCUUUGGAGCCCGGCAGAGACGGUCCUGCUGCAGGCGAUUAUGCAAAGUGACUAGUGAUUGCUUUCCUUUUCAAAGACAACCCCUUUGGAAAAAGCUUUCUCCUUUGAAGACUCCAGGGAAAUGGGGGAUGGGUGGGAAC